GACGAACGCUGGCGGCGUGCUUAACACAUGCAAGUCGAACGGAAAGGCCCAGCUUGCUGGGUGCUCAAGUGGCGAACGGGUGAGUAACACGUGGGUGAUCUGCCUCUAACUUCGGGAUAAGCUUGGGAAACUGGGUCUAAUACCGGAUAGGACAAUCGUUUAGUGUCGGUUGUGGAAAGUUUUUUCGGUUAGGGAUGAGCCCGCGGCCUAUCAGCUUGUUGGUGGGGUAAUGGCCUACCAAGGCGUCGACGGGUAGCCGGCCUGAGAGGGUGGACGGCCACAUUGGGACUGAGAUACGGCCCAGACUCCUACGGGAGGCAGCAGUGGGGAAUAUUGCACAAUGGGCGCAAGCCUGAUGCAGCGACGCCGCGUGGGGGAUGACGGCCUUCGGGUUGUAAACCUCUUUCGACAGGGACGAAGCUUUGGUGACGGUACCUGUAUAAGAAGCACCGGCUAACUACGUG
This 464-nucleotide ribosomal RNA is filed under the name uncultured bacterium. Its description in RNAcentral is "partial 16S ribosomal RNA". It matches the Rfam family "Bacterial small subunit ribosomal RNA", at positions 28 to 507 of the family's 1533-position model. The record is from RNAcentral.